This 272-nucleotide unclassified non-coding RNA is filed under the name Hevea brasiliensis (rubber tree). Lineage: Eukaryota; Viridiplantae; Streptophyta; Magnoliopsida; Malpighiales; Euphorbiaceae. The record is from RNAcentral.
GUCCACAUCACGGUUACCUAAAGUUGCAAGCAUUGCAAUGAAUCCACUGUAUCUUCCCAUAAGCUUUACUAUACCAACUCCAUUCUGCACGCUUUCUGCCUCUACAUGGGCAGCAUUAAUGGCCCUCUGAGCUUCCUCCACAGCAGUAUCAAAGCCAAAAGAUUUGUCUAUCACCGCGAUAUCAUUAUCAAUUGUCUUGGGAAUCCCAGCAACAGCUACCUUAAUACCACGUUUUUCAACUUCCUUGUAGAUUGCAGCAGCCCCUUUUUGAG